GCUGGGCACAGUGGUGGGUGCCUGUAAUCCCAGCAACUCAGGAGGCUGAGGAAGGAGGAUCACAAGCUCAAGGCCAGCCUCAGCAGCUUAGGGAGAUUCUGUUUUUA
RNAcentral lists this small RNA (107 nucleotides) under Marmota monax (woodchuck). Lineage: Eukaryota; Metazoa; Chordata; Mammalia; Rodentia; Sciuridae. The record is from RNAcentral.